Paramuricea clavata is the source of this 478-nucleotide non-coding RNA. NCBI's taxonomy places the organism in Eukaryota, Metazoa, Cnidaria, Anthozoa, Malacalcyonacea, Plexauridae. The record is from the annotation of a GenBank genome assembly.
GUUGGGUUACCGAGCAAUGCAUCAGAAAAUAAGACAAGAACACAAGCUAAAUGUGCCGCAAGAUGUUGUGUACGCAACUAUGACUGAACUAGAUCAAGCUGGUUUGGAAGGUUGAGCUCUUGAAUCAAAGAAAAAAGAAGGGCCAUUUUACGACUAAAGGUGUCGAUUGGGUACAGUCUCUUGAUGGACACUGUAAAUUACUGGGAUACCAGCGAUUCACCUUUACACUUGCUGUAUAUGGUUAUAUGGACACAGCAAGUAGGAGGUUGCUUUGGUUGCAAGUAUGGACAGAUAAUUGUGACCCUAAACUAGUUGCUUGUUGGUAUUUUGACUAUUUGUAUGAUCGAAGGGUUAUAGCAUCAAUAAUAAGGGUAGACAAGGGUAUGGAAACUGGUGAUAUGGCAACUUCACAUGCAUAUUUGAGAAGGAAUCAUGGUGAUGUUAAUCCUGAAGAUACCGUUGUUUAUGGCAAAUCUAC